RNAcentral lists this ribosomal RNA (404 nucleotides) under uncultured bacterium. RNAcentral's name for it is "bacterial SSU rRNA". It matches the Rfam family "Bacterial small subunit ribosomal RNA", at positions 355 to 776 of the family's 1533-position model. The record is from RNAcentral.
UGAGGAAUUUUCCACAAUGGGCGCAAGCCUGAUGGAGCAAUACCGCGUGAGGGAUGAAGGUUUUCGGAUUGUAAACCUCUUUUAAAUAGGAAGAUUAUGACGGUACUAUUUGAAUAAGCAUCGGCUAACUACGUGCCAGCAGCCGCGGUAAUACGUAGGAUGCAAGCGUUAUCCGGAAUUACUGGGCGUAAAGAGUGUGUAGGCGGCGCGUUAAGUUAAAUGUUAAAUUCUCAGGCUCAACUUGAGGGCUGCAUUUAAUACUGGCGUGCUAGAGGAUGGUAGAGGUAAGCGGAAUUAGCGGUGUAGCAGUGAAAUGCGUAGAUAUCGCUAGGAACACCAAUGGCGAAGGCAGCUUACUGGCCCAUUACUGACGCUGAGACACGAAAGCGUGGGGAGCGAACGGG